Molecule: long non-coding RNA, 630 nt
Organism: Astatotilapia calliptera (eastern happy)
Lineage: Eukaryota; Metazoa; Chordata; Actinopteri; Cichliformes; Cichlidae
Source: Ensembl
AAAUGCCCCCCGCCUUUGUUCGGAUAUCUUUUUAAAUAUUUACAAGUUGUCAUGUCAUCUCUGACUGGAAGAGGAAGAGAGGGGUUUCCAGCCUCGAUCAGAGGAGGUCUCUGGAGCGCAGAAGUGCAGCAUCACUUUGAGACCGCAGGGAAGGACCGCCAGCCCAAGGAGCGCCCCUCUCCUGUGGGUGCCGGAGGGUCCAGGGGCGACCCAUAUCGGAAUAUGUGCCAGAGAGCAGACGAUGUCCCGUCUUACAAGUCCCUCCCUGGAUCUGUAGGAGACCGCAUCCGGACAACCAUGUCCUUUAGGACUAUAUGUAGAGGAGGCUCCAUGUCGGCGAAUCCCGGCUUUGGGAGGUCCGAUCGGAAAGUUGCUCGUUGCGAGAAGUGCUCAGCGACCCUUGUUGCUCUGAAGAAACAAGCCCUUAGCCUGGCUGUUCACCAUCACUUCUCCUGCAAGGACUUGAGUGACCUGUCGGCAUUUCUUCAUGAAAACCUCCGGGUCCAUAGUCGGUCCACCACGGACUUCAGAGAAAGAGACCAGGGGGAGUGUGGAGCCUGCGGUACAAACCUGUACCAGCUCAAGCAAGAGGCCAUCCAUGUGGCUCUGAGCCGGGGUCAGGCAUUAGCC